GCGGCCAUGGUGUAGUGGUUAGCAUUAUUGCCUUCCAAGCAAUAGAGUCGGGUUCGAUUCCCGAUGGUCGCA
This is a non-coding RNA of Cladorrhinum samala, 72 nucleotides long. The record is from the annotation of a GenBank genome assembly. NCBI's taxonomy places the organism in Eukaryota, Fungi, Ascomycota, Sordariomycetes, Sordariales, Podosporaceae.